Long non-coding RNA from Pieris brassicae (large cabbage white), 331 nucleotides. RefSeq lists it as uncharacterized. The transcript has 2 exons. Lineage: Eukaryota; Metazoa; Arthropoda; Insecta; Lepidoptera; Pieridae. The record is from RefSeq and is a predicted model, not a curated record.
GCAAAACAUUGUGGAGGUCAAGACUACGAGGCAACAUACUGGAAGGUAUUAGGUAAACAGUGUUGGCUUCAGCAUGGUCCCCGGCUGUGUACCAAUGGACUUUCUGUUUACGUGGGCUUUUACCAUUCUCUCGAACGGUGAAGGAAGGAUCGUGAGGAAACCAGCUUGCUUUAGACCCAAUUCAGAUUGAUCACCUACUUGCCUAUUAGAUUGACAAAUGACCAUGAAACCGAUUCAGAAAUCUGAGGCUCUAAAAAGGUUGUAUCGCGACUGAUUUAUUUAUGCAUUUUAUUAUGUAAAACACCACAAUAAAUGAUGAUAUGGAGAUAUA